AGUGGGGAAUAUUGCACAAUGGGGGAAACCCUGAUGCAGCCAUGCCGCGUGUGUGAAGAAGGCCUUCGGGUUGUAAAGCACUUUCAGUUGUGAGGAAGGUGGUGUCGUUAAUAGCGGCAUCAUUUGACGUUAGCAACAGAAGAAGCACCGGCUAACUCCGUGCCAGCAGCCGCGGUAAUACGGAGGGUGCGAGCGUUAAUCGGAAUUACUGGGCGUAAAGCGCAUGCAGGUGGUUUGUUAAGUCAGAUGUGAAAGCCCGGGGCUCAACCUCGGAACUGCAUUUGAAACUGGCAGACUAGAGUACUGUAGAGGGGGUAGAAUUUCAGGUGUAGCGGUGAAAUGCGUAGAGAUCUGAAGGAAUACCGGUGGCGAAGGCGGCCCCCUGGACAGAUACUGACACUCAGAUGCGAAAGCGUGGGGAGCAAACAGGAUUAGAUACCCUGGUAG
RNAcentral lists this ribosomal RNA (447 nucleotides) under uncultured bacterium. Its description in RNAcentral is "bacterial SSU rRNA". It matches the Rfam family "Bacterial small subunit ribosomal RNA", at positions 353 to 793 of the family's 1533-position model. The record is from RNAcentral.